Molecule: ribosomal RNA, 466 nt
Filed under: Vreelandella stevensii
Lineage: Bacteria; Pseudomonadati; Pseudomonadota; Gammaproteobacteria; Oceanospirillales; Halomonadaceae
Description: partial 16S ribosomal RNA
Rfam family: Bacterial small subunit ribosomal RNA
Source: RNAcentral
CCUACGGGAGGCUGCAGUGGGGAAUAUUGGACAAUGGGCGAAAGCCUGAUCCAGCCAUGCCGCGUGUGUGAAGAAGGCCUUCGGGUUGUAAAGCACUUUCAGUGGGGAAGAAAGCCUUGGGGCUAAUACCCUCGAGGAAGGACAUCACCCACAGAAGAAGCACCGGCUAACUCCGUGCCAGCAGCCGCGGUAAUACGGAGGGUGCGAGCGUUAAUCGGAAUUACUGGGCGUAAAGCGCGCGUAGGCGGUCUGAUAAGCCGGUUGUGAAAGCCCCGGGCUCAACCUGGGAACGGCAUCCGGAACUGGCAGGGUAGAGUGCAGGAGAGGAAGGUAGAAUUCCCGGUGUAGCGGUGAAAUGCGUAGAGAUCGGGAGGAAUACCAGUGGCGAAGGCGGCCUUCUGGACUGACACUGACGCUGAGGGGCGAAAGCGUGGGUAGCAAACAGGAUUAGAUUACCCCGGUAGUC